GAACAAUAGUUGAUGUAAGAAUACGCGCGACGUAAUUACUGAUUCGUACAAACGAUUUAUUUUGCUUAAAGUUAUAUAACAUAUUACUAUUAUGUAUUCUCAUAUUUUUAGUUUUUCAUGGAAUUUGCAAUUGACUUAUUCUUGAUAAAGAUUUUAAAAAACUCAAAGGACAAAAUUUUCCAAAAAGCGCCUUGCACGCGAUUUCUACUAUCAUGUUGUAUGUAAAUUACCGAUGUAGAAAAUAUGACAGGGAGAUCAAUUAUAAGAAAUUGCAAGUAUGCAAAUUCAAAUGCCACUGUCGAUUUGCGUAAAGAAUGUGUAUCAUAACAUCAGUCAAUUUAAAUGAGUGACACUUUUUUUCUGCAAAAAAUUGUAUCUAGUUAUUAAGUGAUCGUUACGUCGUUUUUAAAGGAUGUGAUUUGCCCAUCGGGCAUAAAACUAAACGCGCAAAUGUUGAUCGUCUUUUUUCCCGAACACGUAGAUUUACUUCGCCGUCCUUGUAACUAUUUACGAAUAGAUUUGCAUAAACUAUCAUUUAUUCCUCGGAUUUCACGUCGUGUCACGUGCGUGAUAUAAUAACCCAUUCAUCAUAAAUGCAUCAUGCAUGAUGUAUCUGUACUGCGAUGGACAUAAACAUAAAUGAAUAUUGAAUCGAUAUUAUUCGAUACUCCAAUUCGAUGUUUCAAUAUUAUUAUACAAUCUUAUGAAAAUAUGCAAAAUAAAACGUUAUAAAGUUGCAUUGUGUAACGAAGCCAUAUCAAAAUUCUAUAAGUCUGUCAGCAAUUUUUAAUCACGUAAAAAUAUAUUACUGUAUGUAUAAAAUA
Molecule: long non-coding RNA, 824 nt
Organism: Monomorium pharaonis (pharaoh ant)
Lineage: Eukaryota; Metazoa; Arthropoda; Insecta; Hymenoptera; Formicidae
Exons: 2
Source: RefSeq, a predicted model, not a curated record